This 407-nucleotide ribosomal RNA is filed under the name uncultured bacterium. Its description in RNAcentral is "bacterial SSU rRNA". It matches the Rfam family "Bacterial small subunit ribosomal RNA", at positions 354 to 775 of the family's 1533-position model. The record is from RNAcentral.
AUUAGGAAUCUUGCGCAAUGGGCGAAAGCCUGACGCAGCGACGUCGCGUGGGGGAGGAAGGCUUUCGGGUUGUAAACCCCUUUUAUCGAGGAAGAAACAAAUGACGGUACUCGAUGAAUAAGCCCCGGCUAACUCCGUGCCAGCAGCCGCGGUAAUACGGAGGGGGCUAGCGUUGUCCGAAGUUACUGGGCGUAAAGCGCGCGUAGGCGGGUUGGUAAGUCCGCUGUGAAAGCCCGGAGCUUAACUCCGGAGGGUCGGUGGAUACUGCCAGUCUUGAAGGUGCUAGGGGGAGAUGGAAUUACCGGUGUAGCGGUGAAAUGCGUAGAUAUCGGUAGGAACACCAGUGGCGAAGGCGGUCUCCUGGGGCAUUCUUGACGCUGAGGCGCGAAAGCUGGGGGAGCAAACGG